Molecule: non-coding RNA, 499 nt
Organism: Phascolarctos cinereus (koala)
Lineage: Eukaryota; Metazoa; Chordata; Mammalia; Diprotodontia; Phascolarctidae
Source: RefSeq, a predicted model, not a curated record
AAGAACCAGGGCUAGAUGUUGCAGAAGGUAUCAGCCCAGCCAACCUUUGGCUAAGAGAGCAGUUAGGAAGAGAAAACAUUCAGAAUCAUUCUCCUUUGCUUAUGCUUGUGAUUCCCUCAUAGGAGGGCUCCCUCCUGAGACAAGGACAAAAAAGGAUGCCUUGGUGAAGAGGAUGGGAAGCAGGAAAAAUCAAGGUGCACUUCAGUAAAGGUUGGUGGCUGGCCGCCUCCCAGGGCCUCUGAAGGAACAGCAUUCCAUGCCGCCUAAUUACCUGCCCAACACAGGCUGGAUGGCUUCUUCAAUCUCACGUUGAUCCCAGCUGCUGAGAGCUUCAGUGUAGACUGAUCAGAGACAUUUUCACUCUAUUCCCCCUUUUUUAGAAGCCUUGCUCAGAGACUCAAGGAGGCAGUCACUUGCUAAUGGCCGAUGACUCCCGCCAUAGUGACAGAGUUCUGGGACUGGAGUCAGGAAGACCCAAGUUCAAAUGCGGCCUCAGUGA